Molecule: transfer RNA, 71 nt
Filed under: Ictidomys tridecemlineatus (thirteen-lined ground squirrel)
Lineage: Eukaryota; Metazoa; Chordata; Mammalia; Rodentia; Sciuridae
Also listed under: 1 other name
Description: Spermophilus tridecemlineatus (thirteen-lined ground squirrel) tRNA
Rfam family: tRNA
About the family: Transfer RNA (tRNA) molecules are approximately 80 nucleotides in length. Their secondary structure includes four short double-helical elements and three loops (D, anti-codon, and T loops).
Source: Rfam by way of RNAcentral
AGAGCUGUGGCUCAGUGGUAGAGCGCUUGCCUAGCAGUCUGAGACACUGGGUUCAAUCCUCAGCACCACUU